UCUAGUCUUCAGGGCAGGGUGAAAUUCCCGACCGGCGGUAUAGCCCGCGAGCUGCAUUGCAGUUGAUCUGGUGAAAUUCCAGGGCCGACAGUUAAAGUCUGGAUGGGAGAAGAUUAGU
This 118-nucleotide non-coding RNA is filed under the name Caloranaerobacter azorensis. Its description in RNAcentral is "FMN sequence". It matches the Rfam family "FMN riboswitch aptamer (RFN element)". From Rfam's summary of the family: The RFN element is a highly conserved domain that is found frequently in the 5'-untranslated regions of prokaryotic mRNAs that encode for flavin mononucleotide (FMN) biosynthesis and transport proteins. This element is a metabolite-dependent riboswitch that directly binds FMN in the absence of proteins. The record is from RNAcentral. Lineage: Bacteria; Bacillati; Bacillota; Tissierellia; Tissierellales; Thermohalobacteraceae.